ACCUUGCCUCAUCUCUUUAAAAGCAGAAUAAGUGUAGCUAUAGCAACAGAGUAAAAUGUAUAUAUGCGCUAUGUGUCAUACAAACCAGCUGAAAUGCUAAAGUAAUUGGAUUUUAUACAUGUGAACUUUUUCUAACACAUUUUUUUUUAUAGAUGUGCAAGAAUGCAUCAAGAGGAUGAUGCUGUGCUAAGGUUUGCUGCAUUAAAUUGUAUGUUAGCUUUGAAGGUUUCUGAAAGAAUGACAAAAAUCACAAUGAUCAUCUGCAAGUGUCAAAAAUGAAGGCAGCAACCAAUCUCACACUCUCCGCUCCUCCAUAACCACCACAGCAUCAGUUCAGAAUUCGACCUGGUCCAGGAUUAUGGAUACCUUAGGAUCAUUUCUUCACAGGUCUUGGAUGGCAUCAAUGGGGCUGCAUCUCGAACCGACACAAAUACAAAAAAUACUUUGCUUCUUUAGGACUAAACCAGUUGCCAUAGUCAGCUGCGAUUUGCAUUCUGGGAUAAGUUUUUGGACUUCACCACAAUUAUGGCAGGUCGCAGAUUUUUACUUCUGUGUGUUGCACACAUGAGUUUCCCACACAUUCAUUCUGACCAAUCAAAAGGCAGUUCAGAAAAUUGAACAACUGGCCAACACCUGAUGUGGAUAUUGACACGUGACAACCUUUAUGGUUUGUUUCAACUGGUUCGGGUCAAAAUGGAACCAAAAUGGUGGGAAAAUGUUACAAUGCAUGAUUUCUAACCUUUGUCCAGAUAAAAAAAACCUACUAAAGGUGUAAAAGGCCACUUUAAAGAUACAUAUUAUUACCUAAAGGCUGCACUUCCUCUGUCAGCUGAGAAAAUUCAACCUUCCAAAGGAGCUGCUAAAACAGUUCUACACUUCCACCAUUAAAUCAGUCCUCUGCAAUUUAAUAACUGUAUGGUUUAGCUCAUCUACCAAAUCUGACCUCCAAAGACUACCUUGGAUAGUUCAAAUGGCUGAACUGCAGUGAAUCACUUGUACAACCCUCCCUACUCUCCAAGAACUGUACUUACCCAGAGUGAGUAGAAGGGCUGCCAAAAUUGCUCUGGAGCCCUCACAGCCAGCAUACUGCUUCUUUGAACUUUUACCUUCUGGUCGACGCUACAGAGCACUGCGCACCAAAACAGCCCGACACAGAAACAGUACACGCCAAACAGAAACUUUUGUUUCAGCUCCAACCCAUCUCUGGGAAACAUCCAUAUAGCUGUACAUACA
Danio rerio (zebrafish) is the source of this 1233-nucleotide non-coding RNA. The record is from RefSeq and is a predicted model, not a curated record. NCBI's taxonomy places the organism in Eukaryota, Metazoa, Chordata, Actinopteri, Cypriniformes, Danionidae.